GCCAGAUGUGGUGGCACACACCUGUAAUCCCAGCAACCUGGGAGGCUAAGACAAGAGGAUAGAUAGUUUGAGGCCAACCUCAGCAACUCAGCAAUAUCCUAAAGAACUUAGCAAGACCCUGUCUCAA
This 127-nucleotide small RNA is filed under the name Marmota monax (woodchuck). The record is from RNAcentral. Lineage: Eukaryota; Metazoa; Chordata; Mammalia; Rodentia; Sciuridae.